Molecule: long non-coding RNA, 322 nt
Organism: Sander lucioperca (pikeperch)
Lineage: Eukaryota; Metazoa; Chordata; Actinopteri; Perciformes; Percidae
Exons: 3
Source: RefSeq, a predicted model, not a curated record
CUUCUCCUAUCAUUGCUCGCAGCUGAAGGAUCGCCUCUUGAGCCGAAGUCUGCAGCUCCUUCACCACCUACAGAUGGAGGAGGUGUGCUGUCAGUGAACAGCCAUACAUAAAGCAAUCCAGGACUCAUGUGCCGGUCUGUUUGUCUGGAUGUUUACAGGAUUUAUGGGACUUGAAGUCCACUUUUUUCCCCCUCAUCCUGUGUUAUCUUGGCACACUGCACUGUCUCCUCAGUGUCCGCAUUGUUGUCGACCAGGAACUUCAGCAGACGGUCCUCUGGUGGGAGGGAGCUAUUCCCUUUUACUAUGGAUGGAUAACUGUGGC